Molecule: ribosomal RNA, 253 nt
Filed under: uncultured bacterium
Lineage: Bacteria
Description: partial 16S ribosomal RNA
Rfam family: Bacterial small subunit ribosomal RNA
Source: RNAcentral
UACGUAGGGUGCAAGCGUUAAUCGGAAUUACUGGGCGUAAAGCGUGCGCAGGCGGUUGUGCAAGACAGAUGUGAAAUCCCCGGGCUUAACCUGGGAACUGCAUUUGUGACUGCACGGCUAGAGUGCGGCAGAGGGGGAUGGAAUUCCGCGUGUAGCAGUGAAAUGCGUAGAGAUGUGGAGGAAUACCGAUGGCGAAGGCAGCCCCCUGGGAUAACACUGACGCUCAUGCACGAAAGCGUGGGGAGCAAACAGG